CCUACGGGCGGCAGCAGUGGGGAAUAUUGGACAAUGGGCGAAAGCCUGAUCCAGCCAUGCCGCGUGUGUGAAGAAGGCCUUCGGGUUGUAAAGCACUUUCAGUGGGGAAGAAAGCCUGGGGGCUAAUACCCUCGAGGAAGGACAUCACCCACAGAAGAAGCACCGGCUAACUCCGUGCCAGCAGCCGCGGUAAUACGGAGGGUGCGAGCGUUAAUCGGAAUUACUGGGCGUAAAGCGCGCGUAGGCGGUCUGAUAAGCCGGUUGUGAAAGCCCCGGGCUCAACCUGGGAACGGCAUCCGGAACUGUCAGGCUAGAGUGCAGGAGAGGAAGGUAGAAUUCCCGGUGUAGCGGUGAAAUGCGUAGAGAUCGGGAGGAAUACCAGUGGCGAAGGCGGCCUUCUGGACUGACACUGACGCUGAGGUGCGAAAGCGUGGGUAGCAAACAGGAUUAGAUACCCUAGUAGUC
This 465-nucleotide ribosomal RNA is filed under the name Vreelandella stevensii. RNAcentral describes it as "partial 16S ribosomal RNA". It matches the Rfam family "Bacterial small subunit ribosomal RNA", at positions 338 to 795 of the family's 1533-position model. The record is from RNAcentral. Lineage: Bacteria; Pseudomonadati; Pseudomonadota; Gammaproteobacteria; Oceanospirillales; Halomonadaceae.